AGUCACUUAGCUCAGUGGUAGAGUAUUACGUUGACGUCGUAAAAGCCAUUGGUUCGAUCCCAAUAGUGACUA
Molecule: transfer RNA, 72 nt
Filed under: Andalucia godoyi
Lineage: Eukaryota; Jakobea; Jakobida; Andaluciidae
Description: tRNA-Val
Rfam family: tRNA
About the family: Transfer RNA (tRNA) molecules are approximately 80 nucleotides in length.
Source: RNAcentral